GAUGAACGCUGGCGGCGUGCCUAAUACAUGCAAGUCGAGCGAACAGACGAGGAGCUUGCUCCUCUGACGUUAGCGGCGGACGGGUGAGUAACACGUGGAUAACCUACCUAUAAGACUUGGAUAACUUCGGGAAACCGGAGCUACUACCGGAUAAUAUAUUGAACCGCAUGGUUCAAUAGUGAAAGACGGUUUUGCUGUCACUUAUAGAUGGAUCCGCGCCGCAUUAGCUAGUUGGUAAGGUAACGGCUUACCAAGGCGACGAUGCGUAGCCGACCUGAGAGGAUGAUCGGCCACACUGGAACUGAGACACGGUCCAGACUCCUACGGGAGGCAGCAGUAGGGAAUAUUCCGCAAUGGGCGAAAGCCUGACGGAGCAACGCCGCGUGAGUGAUGAAGGUCUUCGGAUCGUAAAACUCUGUUAUUAGGGAAGAACAAAUGUGGAAGUAACUAUGCACGUCUUGACGGUACCUAAUCAGAAAGCCACGGCUAACUACGUG
RNAcentral lists this ribosomal RNA (497 nucleotides) under uncultured bacterium. RNAcentral describes it as "partial 16S ribosomal RNA". It matches the Rfam family "Bacterial small subunit ribosomal RNA", at positions 28 to 507 of the family's 1533-position model. The record is from RNAcentral.